Molecule: non-coding RNA, 183 nt
Filed under: Aeromicrobium sp. Root472D3
Lineage: Bacteria; Bacillati; Actinomycetota; Actinomycetes; Propionibacteriales; Nocardioidaceae
Also listed under: 1 other name
Source: RNAcentral
UUAGGCUGCGGGCGAACCAGUCGUACCCAUUCGUUGGGUCAGGGAAUCCGGUGCGAAUCCGGAGCUGACGCGCAGCGGUGAGGGGGACGGAGGUGGCAUCGGCCACUGGAUCGCGAGAUCCGGGAAGGCGCCACCGUCCGGACGAACCCGAGUCCGAAGACCUGCUGGUUCGCGGUCGACACG